This 405-nucleotide ribosomal RNA is filed under the name uncultured bacterium. RNAcentral's name for it is "bacterial SSU rRNA". It matches the Rfam family "Bacterial small subunit ribosomal RNA", at positions 355 to 774 of the family's 1533-position model. The record is from RNAcentral.
UAAGGAAUAUUGCUCAAUGGGAGAAAGCCUGACCCAGCAACGCCGCGUGAGGGAAGAAGGUUUUCGGAUUGUAAACCUCUGUCGCAGAUGACGAAGAAAGUGACGGUAAUCUGUGAGGAAGCCCCGGCUAACUACGUGCCAGCAGCCGCGGUAAUACGUAGGGGGCGAGCGUUGUCCGGAAUUACUGGGCGUAAAGGGUGCGUAGGCGGUUCUUUAAGUUGGAUGUGAAAUACCCGGGCUUAACCUGGGGGGUGCAUUCAAGACUGGGGAACUAGAGUUCAGGAGAGGGAAGCGGAAUUCCUAGUGUAGCGGUGAAAUGCGUAGAUAUUAGGAGGAACACCAGUGGCGAAGGCGGCUUUCUGGACUGACACUGACGCUGAGGCACGAAAGCGUGGGGAGCAAACA